Gopherus agassizii (Agassiz's desert tortoise) is the source of this 680-nucleotide long non-coding RNA. The record is from Ensembl. Lineage: Eukaryota; Metazoa; Chordata; Testudines; Testudinidae.
CGAUUUUCCUUCUUGCAGCGGUCCCCCACCUCUCCUCCCCUCCUCCACCGAAGCACACUCGCAGGUCUCUCGUUUGGCUUCAUUUAUAAGGCAGUCUGGUUGCGGGGUUUUAUGCUGCGCCCCCCCCCCCUUUCCUCUCUCCCUUUGAAUCUAGAUUGGUUUGUUUUGCAGUUAAAGCCUUCCCUUUGAUUUCUCUCCCCCCACUCCCUUUCUGCUGCGGGCAGGAGGCUCUUGCUUAGCUGGGGCUCGCAUUUCCUCUCUCUCCUUCGCAGCCAGAAGCUCCGGAGCAGGAGGAGCCGCAGCUUCGACUGAUCCCUGGAAAAUUACGAAAAAUAAAGAGCAGUUGCCAAGAUCAUAGAGGGCCAAGAAAUGAUCAUAACCCUGGAGAGUAUAAAUAUCCAUGGCGAAGUUGUGUGAGAACAGCAUUCGUUGCUACCAGCUGCGCUGAGACCUUACAAUUCAUUGCACCUAGUGAUAGCUGUCAUUUCCCUCCCUCCCUGUUGGUAUUUUUAAAAUAUAUAAUUUAUUUUCCACAAGCAAGUUUUUGACGAGUUUUAGCUUCUGGUGGACUUGCUGAUUUUGAGAGGGAAAUACCCGACAACAUUGUAAAGCCUCAAAUAUGUGCAUCGUGGCUAAAAAGACAAGGCUGCAUAUGCAAAAUAUACAGUGGGCAUAGUGCU